AAUCAAAAUCUAAUAGGUAAGAUAUAGUAAAAUUAUUUUCUAUAUGUAUCCUUUAUAAUCUUUUAACUUGUUAUUCGUGAAUCAAAUCGUGUGUGGCUAAUUAAUAAAUAACGCGAACACGAGCUAAAUUUUUUGGUUCGAUACUUUAAUAAGCUAGCUCGAGAUCGGUUCGAAACGAGCAAAACACAAGCUGUCCCAGCUUACUCUUGUUCAGCUCGUUGACAACCCUAAGGGGCAGUUUGAUUACAUGUAAUUAUAAAUACAGUAUAGUUGGAGAUAUAUGCAGUUGAAAAUGCAGCAGUUGUAACUACAUAUAUCUUGUUUGGUUGGAUGUAGUAGAAAGUGUUGCAACUAUAAAUAAUUUAUUUGAUUGAAUGCAGUUGAUUAAUGAUUUUUAAAAUUUUAUCAUUUUACAAAUAUGAUGGUGAGAUUAUCUACAAUAUAAAAAUAAAAAGUAUUUUUUAUUUAAAAAAUAAUUAAGGAGGUAAGCAUAUUUUUUGUUUAAAAUUAUUCUCUUCAACCGCUGCAGUUGAAGCUGCGGCCAAUUUGAGUAGAGUUCGAACUGCUGCAGUUGGAACUCCUCCUGUAAUUUCUAAUGUAGCAAUUAUAAUUAAAUAUAUCAAACUAAAUACUAAAUUUUUAUUUGCAUACAGUUGUAACUGCAGUGCAGUUUUAACUGCAUGCAACAAAAGUG
RNAcentral lists this long non-coding RNA (694 nucleotides) under Ananas comosus (pineapple). RNAcentral describes it as "long non-coding RNA (ACOM_LNC031804)". Lineage: Eukaryota; Viridiplantae; Streptophyta; Magnoliopsida; Poales; Bromeliaceae. The record is from RNAcentral.